AGAGUUUGAUCCUGGCUCAGGAUGAACGCUGGCGGCGUGCCUAACACAUGCAAGUCGAGCGGGAGAUACUGGAACGAAAUUUCGAUCGAGUGAAGGUAUCAAGAGCGGCGGACGGGUGAGUAACGCGUAGGCAACCUGCCCCAUACAGAGGGAUAGCCUCGGGAAACCGGGAUUAAAACCUCAUAAUGCGAGAGAUUCACAUGGACCUCUCGCCAAAGAUUUAUCGGUAUGGGAUGGGCCUGCGUCUGAUUAGCUAGUUGGUGGGGUAACGGCCUACCAAGGCGACGAUCAGUAGCCGACCUGAGAGGGUAAUCGGCCACAUUGGAACUGAGACACGGUCCAAACUCCUACGGGAGGCAGCAGUGGGGAAUAUUGCACAAUGGGCGAAAGCCUGAUGCAGCAACGCCGCGUGAGCGAUGAAGGCCUUUGGGUCGUAAAGCUCUGUCCUUGGGGAAGAAAAAAAUGACGGUACCCUUGGAGGAAGCCCCGGCUAACUACGUGCCAGCAGCCGCGGUAAUACGUAGGGGGCAAGCGUUAUCCGGAAUUAUUGGGCGUAAAGAGUGCGUAGGUGGUUUCAUAAGCGCGAGGUGAAAGGCAAUGGCUCAACUAUUGUAAGCCUUGCGAACUGUGAGACUUGAGUGCAGGAGAGGAAAGUGGAAUUCCUAGUGUAGCGGUGAAAUGCGUAGAUAUUAGGAGGAACACCAGUGGCGAAGGCGACUUUCUGGACUGUAACUGACACUGAGGCACGAAAGCGUGGGGAGCAAACAGGAUUAGAUACCCUGGUAGUCCACGCCGUAAACGAUGAGCACUAGGUGUCGGGGCCGCAAGGUUUCGGUGCCGCAGUUAACGCAUUAAGUGCUCCGCCUGGGGAGUACGCACGCAAGUGUGAAACUCAAAUGAAUUGACGG
This 908-nucleotide ribosomal RNA is filed under the name uncultured bacterium. Its description in RNAcentral is "bacterial SSU rRNA". It matches the Rfam family "Bacterial small subunit ribosomal RNA", at positions 8 to 916 of the family's 1533-position model. The record is from RNAcentral.